UGAAACCAACAAUUGUAGAGAGGAAGUCAAAUGCAUAACUUCUACUUCUUGUACUUGUGGAAUCAGUUAAAGCUUGAGGGUUCAAUUUUGUUCUUGACCUCAAAUAGCUUAAAAGUACAUUAAAUUGUGAAUUUUCUAUGAACCAUUCAAAAAGACUUGGUGAUAUUUUGUGAUAAAAAUAUUAUAAAAUCAGACAUGAAGCUUGAUCAAAUAAAUGUAUUCAUGGAAGAGGCUCAGAGUUACUUAAGAGAUAUUAACUUGAUGAUAUUUUACAUUUAAUAAUUUAAGAAUAAAAUCACACAUUUAUGGGAAGAAACAUUAUCUUCCUUCCAAAGCUAAAAGGCUCCCAUCCAUCCAUCCAUUCAUUCAAACAUUCAUUCAGAAUUUAUUUAUCAUAGGCCUAUUAUAUGCCAGAAAGUCUUUUAGGAAUUGGGAAUAUAGAAAUAAGCAUAACAAACUCCUAUCUUUAUAUUUGAAGAUAUGUUACUUUUUAAUAAAGAGAGACAGAUAAUAUAAACUUAAAAAAUAUAGAAUAUGUCAGGUGAUGAUAAAUGCUAUGAAGGAAAACAAAGUAAGGAAGACAAAGAGUGAAAGGUAUUGGUAUUUUCUACAGAGUGGUCAGAAAAGGCCUCUCCAGGAAAAUAACAUUUGAGCAGAGGCUUUGAAAGGAGUGAGGGAAGAGUUAUGCAGAUAUCUGGGGGAAGACUGUUCCAGAGUGGUUGAGUCAGAGUGAGAGAAUGACAGUGGCAGGAGCUGAGGUUAGUGAGGCAGUGGGGGGUUAGCAAGUUGAAGGCAGAUAAUAUGGGGCUCUGUGGGCCAUCAUGAGGACUUCAGCUUUUACCUCGGCAUGAGAUGGGAAACCACUGGAGAAUCUAGAGGAGAAAGGGAUGAUCUGCCCUUCAACAGGAUCAUCCAGGCUACUCCGGUGAAUAUAGACCAUAUGAGGGCAAAGAUUGGAAGCUAGGUGAGCAGUUAGAAGGCUACUGCAAUAGCUAUGUGAGAGAGAUGAACUAGGAGAGUAGCAGUGGAGAUCUGAGAUACGGCAAAGUCUAGAUAUAACACAAAGGAAUAGCCGACAGAAUUUGCUUUUGGAUUGGCUGUAUUGUAGGAGAGAAAAAAUAGGGUGCAUUUUUGGGUUGAGCAAAGAGAAGAAUGAAGAUUCCUUGUACUGAGAUGGGGAAAACUGCAGGAGGAGUGGGUCUGAAAGAGGCAAGUUGGUUGCCAUGUUGUGAGCAGCCCCCUUGAAAGGCCCAUGUGAUGAUGAAUUGAAACCUCCUGUCAACAGCCAUGUGAGUGACCUAGGAAGCAGAUCCUGCAGCCCAGUCAUGCUUCAGAUGAGGCAUAUCUGAGGCACAGAGAGGUUAAGUUGGGGACUGAAGUGUGGCUCCAGAAUCUAAGUUUCUAACUGCCAUGCUAUGGUAAGUGAGAUUGACUGACCCCACUGGACUCAUGACUCAUGGACUCAGCUGGUCCUGUGGCCCUACCCAGAAGUGGACUCAGCACACGAGGACCAUUUCCCACACUCCUGUGAUUUCAUCCCCAAUUAUUCAGCAGUACCCUUUCCAUAGCCCCUUGCCCACCAAGUUGUCCAUAAAAACCCUAGCCUCUGAGCUUUUGGGGAGAUGGAGUUGAGUAAUAACUCCAUCUACUGCAUGGCUGGCCUUGUGUCAAUUAAACUUUUUUCUUUACUGCAAUAACAUGGUCUCAGUGAACUGAUUUUGUUCAUGCAGGAGGCAGGAAAAGCCCCUUGGGUGAUUACACAGUGGUUCUCAAAGUAUGGACCUCCAACCAGCAGCAUCAGCAGCAUCUGGAUACUUGCUAGAAAUGGAAAUUCUCUGGCCCUAUUCCAGGCCUUCCAAGUUGGAAACUUUGUGAUGGGGCCCAGCACUCUGUGUUUUAACAAGCCCUCUAGCCUUAAGGAAAACAACUCUGAGGACUUUUGUCACGGACUUGAAAUUCUCAUCUGUGCUUGGACAAGACUCUGAAACAUACCAACUGUGUAUUUUCCUGCCUUUGGUAAAUCUGGAGCUAUUAACUGAUUCUAAAGAACAUUUGACUUAAAAAGACUAUGGAAAGCCCAAAGAAUAAAGUAGAUAAUGAAGACCCCAGUGGAUUAUUAUUAGCAAAUGAAAACUGGAUAUCAAGAAGGGCAAAAUCUUCAACCUUAUCAGCAGAAAGAGUUUAUGUAAAAAUAUACCACAUAGAAUAACUAAAAAAAUAAGCAAGUGAUACCUUAUCUGAGCUCAAAAUAUCUGUUUCUUUGCAAAUGGAUAAAGGAUUUAUUAUAUUAUAGCACCUUGAGGACAGAGACUUUAUGUUUCUAACUACCCAUCCCAGCAUCAUCUAGUUCAUUCCUAUGCUGAACAGCCCCUAACACAUUGCCUAAAUAAAUACUAACAUUAUAUGUGUGCAAUGAAGUAUUCUUUUGCUAAAAGCAAAACUUUCAUAUGGUCUUACAAUAAGCCACUUGUAAGACUAGUUUUAAAUAAUUACUGAUACAAAUGCUGCCACUGCCCCCAAAGAAACCUGAAUAAAAUUAUGUUAGGCUGCACUAAUUUCAGUGUCAAGCUAUUUAACUCUGCUGAUAGUCAUUUUUUUAAAGAUCUUUUGAUCUUUAAAUUGAGAGAGUUGAACUAAAUAAUCUUUUAGAUAUCUUCUAGUUUAAUAUUCUAAGAUUCUAGUAAAUAUAUUGUGUUUGGUCAGGUGUGGUGGCUCAUGCCUGUAAUCCCAACAUUUUCAGAGGCUG
RNAcentral lists this long non-coding RNA (2746 nucleotides) under Homo sapiens (human). RNAcentral describes it as "HSALNT0139873". Lineage: Eukaryota; Metazoa; Chordata; Mammalia; Primates; Hominidae. The record is from RNAcentral.